UCAUGUUUUCUGGCAAUAAUUCAGUUUUUUGGGGGUUGCUACUAAUAAUUACUUCAGUUAUUUACAGUUGUUAUUAUUGAGAAAGAGAGAUAAUCGCUGUAAAAAACUAUAAAUGAAAGGAUCUUAAAUCUUAAAAUUUAUAUCUACUCCUACCUUUUCACCAGUCUUCUAACCAGAAGACCAAGGAAUAACAACCAAGUGUCUGCUAAUUUUUCUUUGAUACAGUGUUUUUCAGAUUAUAAAUUAUUUUACUUUACCAAGUUGAGUUCAUCAGAUUGACAAUAUGUGAUAUCAGAUACACAAUUUUGGAGGGUGGAGUCUCUGCUUUCAAACAAGUCUACCGUACAGCACAUUUUAUCAAGGGGAGUUUGCUGACGUUGUUUUCUUUUAACCUGAUAACCAUUGAAAACUUUCUAGUAAUCCCCAAUCAGACGGGACUUCAGUUCCAUUACCUGUACAGUAAGAUAAGUCUAGUGGAUCUCUUCAGGUUUCUUUCAGAUCUGAAAUUCUGAUUCUAUGAAGAGUCCAAGGCAUUUCUCAGAAGUGAUCAGAUAAUAACCUUAAUAAUACCUUAUCAGGAAUGCAGUUAUUAGCCUCAUGACCUGACCUCUUUAUUUCUCCGAUUCAGUGUAAGGUGGGGAGCUAUUGUUUAUUUGCUUUGUGGCAAACCAGGGCUUGUUUCUUACCUUUAGUAUACUUGAUGCUUUAAACCUAUUGUCUUAGUAUCAGCUGGAAAUGUGCUAAGUGUACUUUUAAAUGGCAUGUAGGGUAUUGUCUUUUGGAGUGUGAAGGCACUUCUUACAAUCGUAGCACUGGUAGGCUUUCUUUUUGUUAAACUGAUUAAACAUAUAUAUGUAUUGAAUUGAAAGGUCUGUUAGGUGUGGAGAACUUCGUUUAAAGGUAAAGUUAGUUUUAGGGUCACCAGCAUAAUAUGUUUAUAAGCAUUAUCUUGGGAAAACCCCUAGUGCAAGUAUAAAGCUUACUUUGAUAGAGAAGGAACUAGUGAUAAAAGGCAUUUAAAAAAAAAAAAUAAAGGGAAAAGAAACUUACUGGUUUAAAUAGGAAUUUUCCUUCUGUAU
Sapajus apella (tufted capuchin) is the source of this 1079-nucleotide long non-coding RNA. RefSeq lists it as uncharacterized. The record is from RefSeq and is a predicted model, not a curated record. The transcript is spliced from 2 exons. NCBI's taxonomy places the organism in Eukaryota, Metazoa, Chordata, Mammalia, Primates, Cebidae.